This 378-nucleotide ribosomal RNA is filed under the name uncultured cyanobacterium. RNAcentral's name for it is "bacterial SSU rRNA". It matches the Rfam family "Bacterial small subunit ribosomal RNA", at positions 376 to 770 of the family's 1533-position model. Lineage: Bacteria; Bacillati; Cyanobacteriota. The record is from RNAcentral.
CGCCAGCCUGACGGAGCCAGACCGCGUGGGGGAGGAAGGCCCUUGGGUUGUAAACCCCUUUUCUCAGGGAAGAAACCUGACGGUACCUGAGGAAUCAGCCUCGGCUAACUCCGUGCCAGCAGCCGCGGUAAUACGGAGGAGGCAAGCGUUAUCCGGAAUUAUUGGGCGUAAAGCGUCCGCAGGGGGCACAUCAAGUCUGCUGUUAAAGGCUGGAGCUUAACUCCGGUAGAGCAGUGGAAACUGGUGUGCUAGAGGGCGACAGGGGUAGAGGGAAUUCCCAGUGUAGCGGUGAAAUGCGUAGAGAUUGGGAAGAACACCAGAGGCGAAAGCGUUCUGCUGGGUCGCACCUGACCCUCAGGGACGAAAGCUAAGGUAGCG